Molecule: non-coding RNA, 238 nt
Filed under: Stenotrophomonas maltophilia
Lineage: Bacteria; Pseudomonadati; Pseudomonadota; Gammaproteobacteria; Lysobacterales; Lysobacteraceae
Source: RNAcentral
AGAAUGCGCGCACUUUCGGGUGACCGGCCGGCCUUGCCGGACGGUUGAAACGGGAAGCCGGUGCCGCGCCCUGCUGGAAUUCCAGCCGUCCGCCAUUCCGGCACUGCCCCCGCAACGGUAAGCAGGACAAGACCAGGCAACACCGCCACUGUGCAUGGCACGGGAAGGCGCCUGGUCGGAAGCAGCCUCGGCUGCCUCGCCUGCGAGUCCGGAGACCGGCCCGGAAGCCGACUGGUUG